This 3188-nucleotide long non-coding RNA is filed under the name Brassica napus (rape). RNAcentral's name for it is "long non-coding RNA (BNAP_LNC006106)". Lineage: Eukaryota; Viridiplantae; Streptophyta; Magnoliopsida; Brassicales; Brassicaceae. The record is from RNAcentral.
AAAAAAACUCAGCAUUUGUCCAUUUUGAUGAAAGUAAUAGAUUUUCAAAUACGACCCAAAAAGUGUUCAACGGCAACUUGUUACUUAUUAAUAUUUUAAUUUACCAGUUCUUUAAUUUUCCAUAAAUAAGCAAUGCAGUAGUUCAAUUUUUCAUUUACCAUUUUAAUAAUAUACUCUAGUUUUUUCAUUUAAUUUACAAUAUAUACAAAUCUUACAUGUUAUUUGAUGAUCUCACAUUUAAAUAUUGGUUAUGGUUGCAUCUUUGUCUUUUUAACUCUUCUUGAUCUUUUCGAUCUUGUACACAAUUUUGGCUACAUUUAAUAACACUGUAAUCAUGUAUUUUAUAAAAAGUUCUAAAUUUGUUAUUCACACUUGUAUUUCUUUAAAAUAUAAAUUAUUAUUUAUUAGAAAUAAAUCUACAUAUAUUAAAACAAAUAUUAUACUACUUUAUUGUCAUAUAGAAAUAUUCAGACAUUUAUUGUUAAAAAAGUAAUAUAGAAUUUUGAUUGGACAUUAUAGUCCCAACAUUUAUGGAGGAGAACGCUUGCAAAAAGCCCGACAUUGACAAGACCCCUUAAUCUCCCUCUCACAAACACUUCUACCAUAAGGUCCAUAUAACUUUACACAUAAAGAUUUACACAGUGGAUCACAAGAUUUUUUUGUGUCAACUGGGACAUUAUACGUGCAAAACAAUAUUCUAUUUCCUUGCACAUCUGCCAUCAUUCCUGUUAGAUGUAGAAAUAUUAAAACUUUUAUAAAAUAUAAAAUUUAUUUAUCAACAAAAAUCUGCUUAAUAAAUUUUGUUUAACGCAUUAUAAACAAAAAGACACAGAGAUAUUUUUAGUAAAUAAAAAAAGGAGCAUAUGAUUUGAUAAAAAUGUUAACUUUUUAUUUUGUGAAAAAUAUUUUUAAGAAUGGUGUACAUAUUAAUAAAAAGUACAUAUAAAUUUUUGAUGUUUUAAGAAAAAUUACUGUAUAUAUUGAAAACCACAACAUAUUAACUACAAAAUAGAAAAAUCUAAUUCAAAAUAUUUCAUAAAUUUACAUAAGAACCAACGUUCAUCCAUAUUAUGAAAAUUGGUUGUUAACAUAUUUGGGAGUGGAAGGAAAAUGUAGAGAAAUAGAUGAUAAAAAUGAAGAUAUCUAAAAUCAUUUUAUGAUGGCAUUUCUUUAUAAAGACUAUACAUUUAAAAACUAAAAAUGGACUAAAAUAAAAAAUAUUACACAAAAAAAUAUAUUUGACUCUGUUUUCUAUAUUUUCAAGCUAUCUAGGUAUUUAGAUUUUUACACAAAUAUAUAAUUUUAUACUAUCUAUAUAUAUAAAGUUGGCUUUUCCCUUCUUAUGACAUGUGGAAGGGGGGUUUGUUGACAUGUGUCCUCAUAUUUGUUUUUGUAUUUUAAAUCCUUUUUCUUUUAAAUUAUUGCAAUUUAUUCCAUCAAUUUCUAAUUAUGUACUAUCUAAUCAUUCUCACACUUAUUAGUCCCUAAAAUUCAAGAUAUAAAUAAAACAAUAUAAAAAUAUUUUAAAUAUUUAAUUUAUUUACAACUAAAAAUAGCAUAAACUUUCACCAUUUUAUUAUUUUUACUAAUUUUUAUUAUUUCAUUUAAAAAUUAUAUAUUCAUUUCACUAUUAAUAUCAUAAGAUAAUCAAACUAAGAAUAAGAAACUAGAGCACCAACGCAAAUAACCAAGAAAGCGGGUCAGAAGGAGAAUAAUAAUCGAAAGGUCAAAGCCACCAAGAAGCAAGAACAUAUAUGCCUAAAGCACCAAAAUCGCAAUCAAUAGCUAAAAGGUAAGAAAUACCUCACAAACUAAACAAGAAUAUACAACACGGCCAUGCAAGUGAAAAACCACAAAGCUCUGGAUAGAAGGGACCAAAGCUCAAAGAGACUAACUCCGCACACCUAUAUCAAAGGAAACAUGGAAAGAAAAGAAACAACUUGAGGAAGGAGAAUGGAAGACAACCACCAAGAAAUCAGAGACUAAACUUGAGACCAGAAAUAACCUUCCAAACCCAUAUAACAUGCACGAACGAAAACAUUAUCCAAACCUCGAGUGGCAAACAUGGUGAAAGGGAGAGCCACCAGAGAUGCGAUGAAAGCUGCAAAGAGAUGCGAGAAUAGAGAAGGAAAGGGAGACGAAACGAAAUCAGAAAACAAUGAAGCCGUCCUCAAGCUAUGAAAGAGAGCAUAGAAGUCAGAACACCAAAAACUAGAUCUUGAAAACCAAGACGAGCAUAGACUAUUGACGGUAAGCCAACGAUGAGGAAUACAACAUCAAAAACGACUAAACUCUGACCCAACCAAGAAGAUGCAGUUCCUAACAUCAGCUGAAAUCUAAAGAAGAAGAGGAGCAGUCAAUAUUGACUGGAACAACCUACAAUGCCGUGAGAAUCAACCGAAAAACUGAAAACUGAUAAACCCGAUCUACAACAAAUACCAUAUAAUCUCACAGGUGAAAAAGACAAGGAAGAACAAGAGAAAUAUGUAAUUCUUUUUCCAGUGAUGGUGAGAAGCACCGCACACCAGAAAUAUAACAAAAUACAUAGACGAUGAUGGCUCAAGGUCAAAAAUAUAGGGAGAGGGCAAAAAACAUCUUAAAAGUUAUAAUUUUCAAAAAUAUGAAAAAAUAUAAUACAAUUUUGACACUGAAACCGUUAAUCUUAGAAUCAACAAAGUUAUUGAAAUUCAAUAUUCUUUUACAUUAGAUGCUCAUUUCACUACUAACAAGUACUAUACACACAACAACACAUUAUUCGAAAAAACAAACACAAAAUAUAUUAACCUAUCUUCUAUUACUACGUAACACACUAAAAACACCAAAUAAUGAUCUUAACAACUAAAAACGACAGCAUAAUUACAUUAUCUAAAAAAUUAUGUUCUUAGCAAUAAUAAAAAUCAUGUUCGCGUGGACACCCCCCUAGUAUUUUAUAUAGUAAACAAAAUUGAUUAUAUGGGGUUUACAAUAUAUUAAACAUAAAAAAUUUAAGGAUAUAAGUAUUAUAAUUAAUUAUAGAAGGAAUUAAUGCAAUAUAUUAAGAUGUAAAUACAAACCUAAUGAGAGAAUGAUAAACAUAGUUAAGAAGGUGAACAAGAGUUGAAAGGAUUUCCUCAUUUUGGAUUACAGAAAUCGAUUGAUACUUAGUUGAAAAUUUAGGGGGAAAAUGAAGUAUUCUAUUGUCCACAACU